Molecule: ribosomal RNA, 1194 nt
Filed under: Triticum aestivum (bread wheat)
Lineage: Eukaryota; Viridiplantae; Streptophyta; Magnoliopsida; Poales; Poaceae
Description: partial small subunit ribosomal RNA
Source: RNAcentral
AUGGACCCUAUGGUUGUUGGUACGCUACCUGAUGAUCUGGUGGUGGAAGUCCUCUCCCGGCUGCCGUUCAAGUCUUUUUGCCGCUUCAAAUGUGUCUACAAGCCCUGGGUCGCCUUCUCAUCAAAUCCAAACUACCAUGAGAACCUGCCGAAAAUUCCCACUAGCCUUUUCUGCCAAUACCAAGACCAGGAUAAGAAGGCUACCAAGCUUAUUGGCCAGCCCCGAAACGUGGAGCAAAUUGAUGGAGCACUUAGUUUCUUGCCGCAGUACCCACAACUGGAGCUUAUGGUUUGCUGCAAUGGCCUAGUCCUUUGCAUGCGUAGGAGCAUGGAUUGGAGCAAUCGUACAAUUAUCUACCGCUUCAUUGUGUGCAACCCCGCAACACGAGAGUGGACAAAGCUGCCUGAUAGCCGUCCUUACCAAGAACAUGGUAUUUGUGAUGCUAUGUUGGUUUUCAACCCGUCAUGUUCCCCACAGUUCUAUGUCCUCAACUUUAAACGGGAUCCUUUAACUUCAUUCUUGAGCGGGCUCGAGGUGUUUUCAUCCAACCUUUCCACAUGGCUUGGGUAUGAUGCAUGGUGGAAUUCUGGGAAGCCCACUGUUAUUGGAUACCGACACUUGUUCAUAGAUGGUUCACUUUAUCUGUUUAGUCUGCGGAGGAAUUCAAGGAGGAUCUUGGUGCUGAAUGGCUUUGAGGCAAUGAGUUCCCGCAUACCGCCUAGUCGUCGGACUAUCAAGUUGCCAAACGACCCUUCUGUUGAGUCUCCGAAUGGCCUUUCCUUUGGUAUGUACACUCGAGGUUUCUUUGGACACUCUCUAGGGGCCUUGCACUUUGCAUUGCCAGAGGUGGAUGGGAGUGCGAUCCGGAUCUGGAGUAUCGAUGUUUCCGGGCCUUACAAGUGGAGUAUGAAGCAUCGUCUUAGUAUGAGAGAUGCGUUUGGAAGAGAUGACCUUGCUCACUAUGACUUCACACAACAGUGUCGGAAUUGUGCUUACAAGAUUGUCGCUCUCGACUUGGAGAGUGACGUCAUAUUCCUCCUUGACCAGGAAAACCAGGUUCGUUCGUACGCCAUCAGCACUGGGAAACUUCAUGAGCUAAAUGACAUUGAACAAGAUCAUGAGCAUAGCUAUAACAAGUUCUUUUAUUAUAUUGCAUGCUACUUGAAGCUUCCAGCAUCCGUGCCUUUUCCUUAG